This 433-nucleotide ribosomal RNA is filed under the name uncultured bacterium. RNAcentral describes it as "partial 16S ribosomal RNA". It matches the Rfam family "Bacterial small subunit ribosomal RNA", at positions 29 to 507 of the family's 1533-position model. The record is from RNAcentral.
AACGAACGCUGGCGGCAUGCCUAACACAUGCAAGUCGAACGAGACCUUCGGGUCUAGUGGCGCACGGGUGCGUAACGCGUGGGAACCUGCCCUUAGGUUCGGAAUAACUCCCCGAAAGGGGUGCUAAUACCGGAUAAUGUCUUCGGACCAAAGAUUUAUCGCCUUUGGAUGGGCCCGCGUUGGAUUAGCUAGUUGGUAGGGUAAAAGCCUACCAAGGCGACGAUCCAUAGCUGGUCUGAGAGGAUGAUAAGCCGCACUGGGACUGAGACACGGCCCAGACUCCUACGGGAGGCAGCAGUGGAGAAUAUUAGACAAUGGGCGAAGGCGUAAUACAGCAAUGCCGCGUGAGUGAUGAAGGCCUUAGGGUUGUAAAGCCCUUUUACCCGGGAUGAUAAUGACAGUACCGGGAGAAUAAGCUCCGGCUAACUCCGUG